Felis catus (domestic cat) is the source of this 1529-nucleotide RNA transcript. It is a transcript of the gene named BUD23 rRNA methyltransferase and ribosome maturation factor, with no coding region annotated. The transcript has 13 exons. The record is from RefSeq and is a predicted model, not a curated record. NCBI's taxonomy places the organism in Eukaryota, Metazoa, Chordata, Mammalia, Carnivora, Felidae.
CGGGAGCGGGGCCGAAGAUAUAAAAGCCGGGUUCCCGGAACACUAGCGUGAGUCUCGCGGCUGAGGCGUGGGGAUGGCGUUCCGCGGGAAGAGACCGGAGCACGGCGGGCCCCCGGAGCUGUUUUACGACAAGAAUGAAGCCCGGAAAUACGUGCGCAACUCACGGAUGAUUGAUGUCCAGACCCAGAUGACUGGGCGCGCAUUGGAGCUCCUUUGUCUGCCCGAGGGUCAGCCCUGUUACCUGUUGGAUAUUGGAUGUGGUUCUGGGCUGAGUGGAGAUUAUCUCUCGGAUGAGGGGCACUAUUGGGUGGGCAUCGACAUCAGCCCUGCCAUGCUGGAUGCGGCCUUGGACCGAGACACUGAGGGAGACUUGCUUCUGGGGGACAUGGGCCAGGGCAUUCCCUUCAAACCAGGCACCUUUGAUGGUUGUAUCAGCAUUUCUGCUGUCCAGUGGCUCUGUAAUGCAAAUAAGAAGUCUGACAUCCCUGCCAAGCGCCUAUACUGCUUUUUUUCUUCUCUUUACUCUGUGCUGGUCCGUGGAGCCCGGGCUGUCCUGCAGCUGUAUCCUGAGAACUCUGAGCAGUUGGAGUUGAUCACGAUCCAGGCCACCAAGGCUGGCUUCACUGGUGGCGUGGUGGUGGAUUUCCCCAACAGCGCCAAGGCAAAGAAGUUCUACCUCUGUUUGUUUUCUGGGCCUUCGACCUUUCUGCCAAAGGCCCUGACCGAAACUACUGAUGAAGAGGAGGCCACGGAGUCUGCGUUCACGAGUGAGAGAGGAUGUGCACGUGGUUCAUCCCCCUCCACCCACCAUAGAAUCCCUCUUGUCCUCACACUGGGGUCUACAGACGACAUGUGCUAACUGUAAACUUAGGACAUCCAUGGGUCCGGCGCUCAGGUGCUCAGGAAAUGGUUGUUACUCAAAUGGCGAGCGGCCCUCCGUGGCAGGAAUUAUGCUGGAAAUCGUUUGAGCCCAGCUGCCAGCCAGGGCUGGAGGCCAACAUCAGUGCUUGAGGAUCCUUGUCGCGGCUGCCGUGAGCUGACAGCCUUGUUUUCCUGCCUCAGACAUCUGUCGUUGCUGGGAACCCCCACUUGGUCUAUGCCAGGCACGCCGACCCCGCAGCCGGACCAGGGUCCGAAGUCGGCAGCACUGGGCAUCGGGCCUCUGGCUGUCCUUGGCAGUGCCAGGCUCUCGAGGGCUGACCCUGGCCCGUGUUGCCCUAAAAGUAGCUCGGCCCCCUGCCUGCCCGACAGGCAGCACCUAACAAGGGAACACACCUGAACAGGUGGUUACUGCCCCAAAGAUGCCCGUGAGGGAGUGGGGCCUCUCACCUCCCGCUCGUCUACCAGACAACCGCUUUGGCCCCAGGGGAUAUCACUGGGGGAGGAGAGGUGUCCAGAAGCAGGGACUUCUGUGGCAGGGGCAUCGGAGGCCGCCUGCCUCGGGGAGGACCACUAUUUUUCCCUGCGUGGACUAGCUUGAGUGCCACGUGGGUUCCACCCGUGCCCUCAGAGCUGUGUUUCCCGCAUAG